UACGUAGGGUCCAAGCGUUGUUCGGAUUUACUGGGCGUAAAGGGCGCGUAGGCGGCAUGACAAGUCACUUGUGAAAUCUCCGGGCUUAACUCGGAACGGUCAAGUGAUACUGUCGCGCUAGAGUGCGGAAGGGGCAAUCAGAAUUCUUGGUGUAGCGGUGAAAUGCGUAGAUAUCAAGAGGAAUACCUGAGGUGAAGACGGGUUGCUAGGCCGACACUGACGCUGAAGCGCGAAAGCCAGGGGAGCAAACGGG
This 253-nucleotide ribosomal RNA is filed under the name uncultured bacterium. Its description in RNAcentral is "partial 16S ribosomal RNA". It matches the Rfam family "Bacterial small subunit ribosomal RNA", at positions 524 to 776 of the family's 1533-position model. The record is from RNAcentral.